This 348-nucleotide unclassified non-coding RNA is filed under the name fungal sp. RNAcentral's name for it is "partial internal transcribed spacer region". Lineage: Eukaryota; Fungi. The record is from RNAcentral.
AAGUCGGGUUUCCGUAGGAUCAUUAACACGUAUCCAAUUAAAACAACCCCCGUGAACUUUCAGCUUGCUCCUGUAGCCCGUCAAAACAGCAAUCCUGGUAAAUCAUUGUUGACCAGCUUUUGAGUCAGGGACCUCUGCCGAUUGUGAUAUUUAUAGCUACGGUUGGAUUGCAUCUAGUGACCAAGUAAUCAGUGUCUGAAAGUGUCAUUGAUUAUGUAAGGAUGGCGCAGUCACGAUCGCUGUAGGCCCGGCUCUGCUCCUUUACGACAACACAGUACGAAUUGGCCGCGUGAAAUUCGCACGACACCAAAAACCGAACAACUGUUAACAAUGGAUAUCUUGGUUCUC